UACGUAGGGCGCAAGCGUUAUCCGGAUUUACUGGGUUUAAAGGGUGCGUAGGCGGGACGACCAGUCGGCGAUGAAAUGACGGGGCUUAACCUUAGUCGCCGUUGCCGAAACUGUCGUUCUUGAGAGCGCAUGAGGCGGCCGGAAUGAGCGGUGUAGCGGUGAAAUGCGUAGAGAUCGCUCAGAACACCGAUUGCGAAGGCAAGCCGCCGGGGCGCUUCUGACGCUGAGGCACGAAAGCGUGGGGAGCAAACAGG
Molecule: ribosomal RNA, 254 nt
Filed under: uncultured bacterium
Lineage: Bacteria
Description: partial 16S ribosomal RNA
Rfam family: Bacterial small subunit ribosomal RNA
Source: RNAcentral